Long non-coding RNA from Spinacia oleracea (spinach), 252 nucleotides. RefSeq lists it as uncharacterized. The record is from RefSeq and is a predicted model, not a curated record. Lineage: Eukaryota; Viridiplantae; Streptophyta; Magnoliopsida; Caryophyllales; Amaranthaceae. The transcript is spliced from 3 exons.
AGGAAGAAAGUAAGACCAACAGAGAAAAUCGUUUGUUGUUAAAUGAUAUGCACACGAUGGGCCGUAAGGGGUUUGCAAUUUUACGUCAUGAAUUGCAAGAGCAGGAUCUGAAUAAGCAAGAACCUUCUCAAGCAAAGGUCUACAAAGAAUCAAGGAAAAGAGUUCUAGGGAGAACAUACCUUACCAACCCUGAGAAAAUCGAAGAGAAUAUUGCAAAAAUAGAUGCUUUAGAGUCCACCCAAGACGGAGAAG